GAUGAAGAACGUAGCGAAAUGCGAUACGUAAUGUGAAUUGCAGAAUUCAGUGAAUCAUCGAGUCUUUGAACGCACAUUGCGCCCCCUGGUAUUCCGAAGGGCAUGCCUGUUCGAGCGUCAUUAUCACCCCUCAAGCCCCGGCUUGGUGUUGGGCUCUCGGUGGUCGUCUCCGACCACCCGUCUCAAAGAUAGUGACGGCGUCCCAGAGGGAACCGGUACGAGGAGCUUUCACGAGCAUGUACGCGGGACGACUCUGCGGGCGACGGUCUUAUUUACUUUAUAUACAAGUGUUGACCUCGGAUCAGGUAGGAAUACCCGCUGAACUUAAGCAUAUCAAUAAGCGGAGGA
Molecule: unclassified non-coding RNA, 348 nt
Filed under: soil metagenome
Description: partial contains 5.8S ribosomal RNA, internal transcribed spacer 2, and large subunit ribosomal RNA
Rfam family: 5.8S ribosomal RNA (bases 1-120)
Source: RNAcentral